This is a small nuclear RNA of Dipodomys ordii (Ord's kangaroo rat), 104 nucleotides long. Lineage: Eukaryota; Metazoa; Chordata; Mammalia; Rodentia; Heteromyidae. The record is from Ensembl.
GUUCUUGCUUUGGCAGUACACAUAUUGUUGGAAAGAUACAGAGAAUAUUAGCAUGGUCCCUGCACAUGGAUGAUACACAAACUGGUGAAGUACUCCAUAUCAAG